CCGGAAGGGGAGUGAAACAGUUCCUGAAACCGUGUGCCUACAAGUAGUUAGAGCCCGUUAAUGGGUGAUAGCGUGCCUUUUGUAGAAUGAACCGGCGAGUUACGAUUUGUUGCAAGGUUAAGCGGAAAAAGCGGAGCCGUAGCGAAAGCGAGUCUGAAUAGGGCGCAUAAGUAACAGGUCGUAGACCCGAAACCAGGUGAUCUACCCAUGUCCAGGAUGAAGGUAAGGUAAUACUUACUGGAGGUCCGAACCCACGCACGUUGAAAAGUGCGGGGAUGAGGUGUGGGUAGCGGAGAAAUUCCAAUCGAACUUGGAGAUAGCUGGUUCUCUCCGAAAUAGCUUUAGGGCUAGCCUCGAGGUAAAGAGUCAUGGAGGUAG
This 378-nucleotide ribosomal RNA is filed under the name Salmonella enterica. RNAcentral's name for it is "partial 23S ribosomal RNA". It matches the Rfam family "Bacterial large subunit ribosomal RNA", at positions 526 to 905 of the family's 2925-position model. Lineage: Bacteria; Pseudomonadati; Pseudomonadota; Gammaproteobacteria; Enterobacterales; Enterobacteriaceae. The record is from RNAcentral.